CUGUUUCGAAUAAAACAGGAAUUGUGAUAUAAAUUUAAAAAAUCCACAAAAAUACGUAAAAGAACAAAUUGAUCAUGAAUAUGAUCAGCAUUUGUUAACCAUCACUUAACCCAUUAUUCGCCUUACACGCACGAUUGCGAUUGUCGCAACAACACAAUCCGUUUUUCUCUGCCGUAUUAUUUAUGUAACACGCUACACGCAGCACUGUGUCUCAACCCCUAUGGACAAAAAAUGAAACAGAGAACAAUCAAAUGAAGCGAAAUGAAUAGAAAAUUAUGGUACCUUUCUGUCUGUCUCUGUCGCCGGCGGGUGACCGGAGAAAGGGAGAACAACAACAACGCCUUAUCCCACUAGGUGGGGUCGGCUACAUGGAUCAACUUCCGCCAUAAUGUUCUAUCAAGUACCAUACUUCUAUCCAAACCAUUAAUUUCGAGAUCCUUUUUUAUAACCUCUCUGUCUUUUUGGGUCUUCCUCUGCCUCGAAUUGUUUGUCUUCUGGUCUACUCUCCUCACUACAUAGUCAACAUCCUCAUCUCCGCUACACCUACUUUAUUCUCAUGUUGGCUCUUGACCGCCCAACAUGUAAACAAGUUUUUAAUUUUCUAAUUUUCUUUGUUUUUAAUUUUAA
Molecule: long non-coding RNA, 627 nt
Filed under: Glycine max (soybean)
Lineage: Eukaryota; Viridiplantae; Streptophyta; Magnoliopsida; Fabales; Fabaceae
Description: long non-coding RNA (GMAX_LNC001555)
Source: RNAcentral